AGAAUCAGACUCCAAAUCAAAACACAGCAAAAAUUCAACAAAUUUAAGCUUUGAAAAAGAUAAGAUUAUUUUUUAGUUUGUGAAAGAGAGAAAAAAUGGCUUCUGGAUGCAAAUGUGGUGACAAUUGCUCAUGUGGAGAUAGCUGCAACUGCCAAUCAGGGACCAUCUCAGGGGCCAUGAUUCUCAAGCAAAGUGGAUGCAGCUGUGGGGAUAGCUGCUCAUGUGACCCAUGCAGCUGCAAGUGAGCCAUGAGAAAGAUGGAUAAAACCCCUAAACACAACAAAAGCUUCUUCAUCCAAUAAAUUGAUGAAUACGAUCAAUCUACAAACUUUGUUUCUUUUUUCUUCUUUAUCCUUCCUUGUUUGAUGAAAAUGAAAUAUUGUAAAUUGGCUUUGAAACUCCAAGUUCAUAUGGAUUUGGGUUUUCUAUGGCUUCUUGAAAUUUAGUGUGAACUAUGUACUAUAGCUUUGUUGUGUGUUGGGGGAACUUAGGGUUGAUAAUAUUCAUCAAAAGUUUUAAAUUUGUGUUUGAAUUUGUGUUUAAUAUGGAUAUUUGGUUUUGAGUAUACUCUUCGUAUUUAUAA
Long non-coding RNA from Cucumis melo (muskmelon), 583 nucleotides. RefSeq lists it as uncharacterized. Lineage: Eukaryota; Viridiplantae; Streptophyta; Magnoliopsida; Cucurbitales; Cucurbitaceae. The transcript has 3 exons. The record is from RefSeq and is a predicted model, not a curated record.